ACACCUUCUAGACUUCUUUCCUGAUCCAAAUUCUCCCUGCCAUGUGGACUGCAGUGAGGAAAUGGUGAAUAGUUCCAGGCAAAACGGUUUUGUUCCUCUGUCUGAAGAUGUUUCUGCUUGUGCUACACAUCCACAAAAUGAUUUCAUUGUAGCUGGCACCAAGCAAGCAUCUUUGCUUAUGAUUGGCCAAAGAAAGAAGAGCUUACACGGG
Molecule: long non-coding RNA, 211 nt
Organism: Chenopodium quinoa (quinoa)
Lineage: Eukaryota; Viridiplantae; Streptophyta; Magnoliopsida; Caryophyllales; Amaranthaceae
Exons: 3
Source: RefSeq, a predicted model, not a curated record